This 831-nucleotide ribosomal RNA is filed under the name Triticum aestivum (bread wheat). Its description in RNAcentral is "partial small subunit ribosomal RNA". Lineage: Eukaryota; Viridiplantae; Streptophyta; Magnoliopsida; Poales; Poaceae. The record is from RNAcentral.
AUGGCGGCGGAGGACGUGGAGUUCGUGGACUACGAGCGGGACGACGGCGACGAGGAGGACGGGGGGAUGGAGGACGGGGAGGUCUCGGCCCGCGCGCUCCCCGUGCCCCACAUCGCCGCCCCCGCCGUGCCGCGCACCAGCAGGGGCCGCUUCGUCGGCCGCAGCCGCUCCGUCAUCGCCUCCACCCGCGACCGCUUCGACUCCCUCCCCUUCGCCGGCACCUCCGCGCACGGCGGCCCGCAGCGCUCAAUUGAAGGAUGGAUAAUAAUUGUCUCAGGAGUCAAAGAAGAUGCAGAAGAAAGUGAUCUGUAUGAUGCUUUUGCUGAGUUUGGUGAGGUCAAGGACUUGCAUCUCAACCUGGAACGCCGCACUGGAUAUGGCAAGGGAUAUGCAUUGGUUGAAUAUGGAUGUUUUGAGGAAGCACAAACUGCAAUCAGAAGUAUGAAUGGGACACAGCUGUUAACAAAGACCAUCCAUGUUGAUUGGGCAUUCAACAGAGGUCCUAUACAGAACGUCACAAGUGCACGUGCAGGCCUGAAAGGUGCGGUGCGGCCAGGGGAUCGACAUGACGAGUUGCCAUCGCCGGUCCACUUCUCUCCAAGGCUCGGUGCCUCGGUCACCAUACUCGCCUCAUCUUCUUUCUUUUGGGUCCAUCUUGCCCUUGUCCUUGUCUUCAUGGUCGUCGUGGGAGCAGCGGUUGAAUACGCAAUAGCGUCGGUGCGGCCUUUGCGCAUUGCUGCCAUUGACCUUAGACUCGGGGACAAGGGUCCAGCGCCAGCCAGCCUCGGAGGCUCUCUGGGCUACGAGUCGGGCCCUCCUUUUGACGCGUAG